UAUCAAUCCCAACUUGAGUCGAACUGAAUCUAAUUCAAUUAGACUUAUUCCCAAGCUCUUUACUCAAUCAAAUUGAGUUAAUUAGUAAUCUAAUUACUAAUUAUUCUCUAUAAAUGAUAGAGUCUCAGUCUCAGUGAGACUCUCCCACAGAGUCCUAGUCCAAGUAGGACUCUUCACCAGAGUCAUAAUCCAAUUAAACUCUUCAGCCAU
This 210-nucleotide long non-coding RNA is filed under the name Elaeis guineensis (African oil palm). RNAcentral's name for it is "long non-coding RNA (EGUI_LNC020179)". The record is from RNAcentral. Lineage: Eukaryota; Viridiplantae; Streptophyta; Magnoliopsida; Arecales; Arecaceae.